Molecule: ribosomal RNA, 492 nt
Filed under: uncultured bacterium
Lineage: Bacteria
Description: partial 16S ribosomal RNA
Rfam family: Bacterial small subunit ribosomal RNA
Source: RNAcentral
AGUGAACGCUGGCGGUAGGCCUAACACAUGCAAGUCGAACGGCAGCACAGUAAGAGCUUGCUCUUACGGGUGGCGAGUGGCGGACGGGUGAGGAAUACAUCGGAAUCUACUUUUUCGUGGGGGAUAACGUAGGGAAACUUACGCUAAUACCGCAUACGACCUACGGGUGAAAGCAGGGGAUCUUCGGACCUUGCGCGAUUGAAUGAGCCGAUGUCGGAUUAGCUAGUUGGCGGGGUAAAGGCCCACCAAGGCGACGAUCCGUAGCUGGUCUGGGAGGAUGAUCAGCCACACUGGAACUGAGACACGCUCCAGACUCCUACGGGAGGCAGCAGUGGGGAAUAUUGGACAAUGGGCGCAAGCCUGAUCCAGCCAUACCGCGUGGGUGAAGAAGGCCUUCGGGUUGUAAAGCCCUUUUGUUGGGAAAGAAAAGCAGCAGGUUAAUACCCCGCUGUUCUGACGGUACCCAAAGAAUAAGCACCGGCUAACUUCGUG